RNAcentral lists this ribosomal RNA (894 nucleotides) under Bacillus subtilis. RNAcentral describes it as "bacterial SSU rRNA". It matches the Rfam family "Bacterial small subunit ribosomal RNA", at positions 52 to 928 of the family's 1533-position model. The record is from RNAcentral. Lineage: Bacteria; Bacillati; Bacillota; Bacilli; Caryophanales; Bacillaceae.
UACAUGCAGUCGAGCGGACAGAUGGGAGCUUGCUCCCUGAUGUUAGCGGCGGACGGGUGAGUAACACGUGGGUAACCUGCCUGUAAGACUGGGAUAACUCCGGGAAACCGGGGCUAAUACCGGAUGCUUGUUUGAACCGCAUGGUUCAAACAUAAAAGGUGGCUUCGGCUACCACUUACAGAUGGACCCGCGGCGCAUUAGCUAGUUGGUGAGGUAACGGCUCACCAAGGCAACGAUGCGUAGCCGACCUGAGAGGGUGAUCGGCCACACUGGGACUGAGACACGGCCCAGACUCCUACGGGAGGCAGCAGUAGGGAAUCUUCCGCAAUGGACGAAAGUCUGACGGAGCAACGCCGCGUGAGUGAUGAAGGUUUUCGGAUCGUAAAGCUCUGUUGUUAGGGAAGAACAAGUACCGUUCGAAUAGGGCGGUACCUUGACGGUACCUAACCAGAAAGCCACGGCUAACUACGUGCCAGCAGCCGCGGUAAUACGUAGGUGGCAAGCGUUGUCCGGAAUUAUUGGGCGUAAAGGGCUCGCAGGCGGUUUCUUAAGUCUGAUGUGAAAGCCCCCGGCUCAACCGGGGAGGGUCAUUGGAAACUGGGGAACUUGAGUGCAGAAGAGGAGAGUGGAAUUCCACGUGUAGCGGUGAAAUGCGUAGAGAUGUGGAGGAACACCAGUGGCGAAGGCGACUCUCUGGUCUGUAACUGACGCUGAGGAGCGAAAGCGUGGGGAGCGAACAGGAUUAGAUACCCUGGUAGUCCACGCCGUAAACGAUGAGUGCUAAGUGUUAGGGGGUUUCCGCCCCUUAGUGCUGCAGCUAACGCAUUAAGCACUCCGCCUGGGGAGUACGGUCGCAAGACUGAAACUCAAAGGAAUUGACGGGGGCCCGCACAA